UUGCUUCCCCCUUCGUCCGGAAUUACUUGUCGCAUAAGUAGAUAAAAAUGAAUGUAUUUAGAAUUAAAAUACAUCUAGAUACAUUCAUUCCUAUAACAAGUAUUCCCGGACGGAGGGAGUAGUUU
Molecule: non-coding RNA, 125 nt
Organism: Hordeum vulgare subsp. vulgare (domesticated barley)
Lineage: Eukaryota; Viridiplantae; Streptophyta; Magnoliopsida; Poales; Poaceae
Source: Rfam